This 909-nucleotide ribosomal RNA is filed under the name uncultured bacterium. RNAcentral describes it as "bacterial SSU rRNA". It matches the Rfam family "Bacterial small subunit ribosomal RNA", at positions 33 to 926 of the family's 1533-position model. The record is from RNAcentral.
ACGCUGGCGGCGUGCCUAAUACAUGCAAGUAGAACGCUGAAAGAGGAGCUUGCUUCUCUGGAUGAGUUGCGAACGGGUGAGUAACGCGUAGGUAACCUGCCUGGUAGCGGGGGAUAACUAUUGGAAACGAUAGCUAAUACCGCAUAAGAGUAGAUGUUGCAUGACAUUUGCUUAAAAGGUGCAAUUGCAUCACUACCAGAUGGACCUGCGUUGUAUUAGCUAGUUGGUGGGGUAACGGCUCACCAAGGCGACGAUACAUAGCCGACCUGAGAGGGUGAUCGGCCACACUGGGACUGAGACACGGCCCAGACUCCUACGGGAGGCAGCAGUAGGGAAUCUUCGGCAAUGGACGGAAGUCUGACCGAGCAACGCCGCGUGAGUGAAGAAGGUUUUCGGAUCGUAAAGCUCUGUUGUAAGAGAAGAACGAGUGUGAGAGUGGAAAGUUCACACUGUGACGGUAUCUUACCAGAAAGGGACGGCUAACUACGUGCCAGCAGCCGCGGUAAUACGUAGGUCCCGAGCGUUGUCCGGAUUUAUUGGGCGUAAAGCGAGCGCAGGCGGUUAGAUAAGUCUGAAGUUAAAGGCUGUGGCUUAACCAUAGUACGCUUUGGAAACUGUUUAACUUGAGUGCAAGAGGGGAGAGUGGAAUUCCAUGUGUAGCGGUGAAAAGCGUAGAUAUAUGGAGGAACACCGGUGGCGAAAGCGGCUCUCUGGCUUGUAACUGACGCUGAGGCUCAAAAGCGUGGGGAGCAAACAGGAUUAGAUACCUGGGUAGUCCACGCCGUAAACGAUGAGUGCUAGGUGUUAGACCCUUUCCGGGGUUUAGUGCCGCAGCUAACGCAUUAAGCACUCCGCCUGGGGAGUACGACCGCAAGGUUGAAACUCAAAGGAAUUGACGGGGGCCCGCAC